RNAcentral lists this long non-coding RNA (4431 nucleotides) under Malus domestica (apple). RNAcentral's name for it is "long non-coding RNA (MDOM_LNC002683)". The record is from RNAcentral. Lineage: Eukaryota; Viridiplantae; Streptophyta; Magnoliopsida; Rosales; Rosaceae.
AAGUUAAGGCUAUGUUGGGGGUGAGGAUUUAAGUUCUUGGGAAUUGAGGUCGAGUUUGUAAAGAGUGGAUCACAAAAAAUUGAUAGGAGGGGUUUAAAAGUACACUCCAUGAUCAUUAGAAAUGUAUGUAAGAGGUAUUUGCAAAUAACAGCUUAAUAAGGAAGAUGAAACAUUAAGGAAAAGACGUGAUAAGAAAUCCAUUGGCAAUAUCAAACAUGUACCUGCCUCACAUCAUACAGACAAGAAAAGAAAAGAAAAGAAACGAAAAGAAAAGAAAAGGAAAGAAAAUAUAUAUGUAGGGCAUGGUUCAAAUCUUGUGUUUGGUAUCACUGCCUUGAAGUAACUUUCUGUCCCGAGUCCAGCAAUAUCCUAGUACAAGAAAAGGGGAGUUCCAUAGCAAGUUAUCAACCUUCAAUUUGUUCAUGGCACCGGAUAAAGUAUUAGAGAAAAUUGGAGCAUUGGUAAAUAUUGUCUUCCACAUAAGAGUUUACGGGUUCGAUAGGUUUUUUGGUUUAGUCAACUGGUGCUGAAGUAUUUUAAUUGGUCCUUUUUGUUUUGUUUUGUUUUUUUUUGUUUUUGUUUUUGUUUUUUUUUUGUGUGGGUGUAAUCGGAACAAUUUAGUGAUUAAAUUUGGACAAAAAAACUAGUUCUUUGCUUGGUCGUCCAAUCAUUUGGUUAGAAGUCGAACUUCAAUUUAAUUUUAACCUCCCCAAUUCUUGACUUGGUUGGUGGCCCACCUACGCACUAGAUCCAACGAAGGAAAGCAAAUCCUUCGUAGCGGCCUCCUGUGCCAAAAAUAAGGAAACACUACCAAAAUUAGAUACAGAUAUUUGGUUCUUCUAUUGCUUAUUUCCCAAUCAAGAUUUUUUGUGAUAUGAAAUAAUGUCAAAUCAAAUGGAAAUAUCUUUAAUCACCAUGAUGCACCUCAUGUUAAAAUAAUUUUUACAAACCAUAGCUUGAUCAACAAGUACUAUAUAGAGACUUCAAAGAUGGAUCUUCCAGUGGCUCCCAAGGACAUCUCCUUACAUUAAAUAAUUACUAGAAUGUGAUAGAUUUGUUGUUGUUCAUUCAUGUCUAUCGAUGCUAAUACAAUGAACUCGAACAACACACUAUUGAGCCCUGCGAGUUAGUGAGAUUUUUAGGUGAAGUCAAAUUUCAUAUCUAAGAGCACGUAAUAUUUGAUUAUGCAUCAAGUAGUGAGUUAGUGAGGGUUUUGAGGUGAAGUCAAAUUUUAUAAGAAACUUUAUAGCUCAAUUCCUCAUUAGGGUUUCUAAGAGGUAAGUAGAGAAAGCACAAGCUCUCUCCUUCUCUCUAGGAGGCCGGCCACAUGAAGAGGAAGAUACUACCAUCUUCUUCCUCAAUCAUCCUUUGUUUCAAAACUUGAAGGUUCUCUACCUUGGGAACUUUUGGAGAAUUCAUUCAAGCAUCCAAAUCUAAGAAUCCAAGAAGCAAAAGAUGGAGAUGAAGGCUACAAAGUGCAACUCAAGGAGAUGAGUGGAGGCCUUCAAAGCCUCCUUGAGUUGAGAUUUGAAUUCAAAUGUAUAAAGAAAUCUCAACUCUUUAUGUGAAUUAGAGAGGUUCUUUGGUUAACCACACUACUAGGUUUGAAAUUUCAUGGUUAAGUUUUAUUUUUUAGUGCAUACAAGUAUAUUUCCGCCGCUUAUUUGUUAAAUGCAUGCAUAUAUGUUGCUCCAUGAACUGAGAAAUCUUUCGUUCAUUAUGAAACUGUAGUUCCUUGGCUUGAGACAAUGUUUCAUUGUUCCUCCUUAUAAUGACAUUGGUUGUUUAAUGGUAGGAACAUAUUUAAAUUUAUUGAUGAACUUGUUUAUCCAAACAACCUCUGGACUAGCAUAAGUAGCGGCAUAAUAUUCUGCUUCACAGCUCUUUCAUUCAAAAUGAAGACGCAUCCAUCCUUAUGUAGACUUAACACUUUACAGAUUUCAUAUGGUCAAAAUCAGAUGAGUAGACUUUCACCAACUUCUCAUCAGUAAGUUUUUCCUUAUUUUGUGUACUCCUAAUAAAGAAUCCUCAAUUAUUUAGAAGGAAAGUUAUUUAUCCUGAAUUUAGUUAAUCCAUAAAAAAAAUCUUUUCCUAUAAUAAUCGCUAACUCGACAAACUUAAGACUAAUACAUGAACCCAAGUUAAUUCAUGUGAAUACAUGCAAUUACUACAUGUUUAAUGUAUACAUUAAAUCCUAAUCUACUUAAUUUAAUGAGGAGUUGACACUCAGUACUAUGGUCUGGUGGUAUUCCUCUUCACUUGAAAGUGAGAUGUCUUAGGUUCGAAUCUCGUGGAUAGUGAAUUUGAUACCAAAUUAGGCUACCAAUUGUGUGGUUUAACCGAACUUCCCAUUCCUUCAGUGUAAAAAUAUCGAUGUAUUAAAAAAAAAGAGUAGGAGUUAAGAUUAUUCUCAACACAAGAGCCAAGAUAUCAUAAUAUAAGGUGCUUUAGAUUUUGGCCCUUACAACUCAUUAUUUCUAGAUAAAAACCCAUCUAUCUUUAAAGAUCCAGUUUAAGCUCAAAUUUAAAAUUUGCAAAUAUAUGGGAACACUAUUGACCUAUUAAUACAAUUUAUUUACACUCAUGCCACUCAUACUGUGUGGUCCAUUUUCCAAAUUCCUAAAUUUGUGCCAAAUUAAAAGUAGUAGAAAAAAUUGAAAUAAAAUGUAAAAAGUGUUUGCAUUAACCGUCUCCAUGUCAAACUAGAAAAGUAGUUUUUUUUUUCAUGAUAUAUUUUGUAGCAAUUUUACCCAUAUUAAUUGGUAGGUAAAUUAGUUUGUUCCAAUUAUUUAAAAAAAAAUAAUACUACACCUAUAUUAUAUAUUUUGAAUCAAAUAACAUUCCUCUAACUUGUAGGUAAAUUAUUUUCUAUGUAUUGUUAUAUAUUUUAGACACGUUCUGUUGUUGUAUAAACAUGAGUGGAACAUAAUAUUGUUGAUUUUAUACAUCAAACAACAUUUCUUUUGUUAUAGGUAAAUUAUUUUCCAUGUACAAGUACUUAUGUUAGACACGUUUUGUUGUUGGUACAUACAAUAUUUUGUAUCAUUGUAAAUAAAAAUAUUACAUUACACCCAUGGUAUAAUUGUUGUAUGUAAAUUAUUGGAAAUUAAUUUGUAGUUAGGUAAUGAACAUUUUGCAUCAUUAGAAAUGAACAUUUCAAAUAGUAGGUAGGUAAAUUAAUUUGUUCUAAUUAUAUAAAAAAAAUUACACUACACCUAGUUAUAUUUAAUUUUUUCAAUCAUUAAAAACAUUUAUACUACACCCAACCAAAUAACAUUUAUCUAACUUGUAGGUAAAUUAUUUUUCAUGUAUUGUUAGAUAUGUUAGGCACGUUUUAUUGUUGUAUAAACAUGAAUGUAACAUAGUAUUUUUAAUAGUAUGCAUCGAACUACAUUUCUUCUUAAGAUAGGUAAAUUAUAUUCCAUGUAUUAGUACAUAUGUUAGGCACGUUUUGUUGUUGGUAUAAACAUUAUUUUGCAUCAUUGUAAAAAAGAGAUAUUAUAUUACACCCAUGGUAUAAUUGUUGUAGGUAAAUUAAUGUGCAUGUAGAUAAUGAAAUACAAUGUUCUAAUAUAUUAAUAAAAAAAGGGUAAAUUCAAAAGUAUUCAAGAGUAGGGUGAAAAAAACUAAAUCAAAUAGUUUUAUGAAAAUUCAAAGCAAUAAAUUUUUAACAUUAAUGUCUUUUUUUUUCUUGUUGCAAAAUCAUUUACUCUCUCCUUACAAUUAAUUGUCUACAUCAAAUAUGUAAUAGGGGUAUUUUAGGCAUGUGAAAAAUGUAAAAUGUGUGAAGUAAUAUGAAAUUAAUGAAUUUGCUUAUGUGGAUCCUAGUCAUUGGGUUUUCUUUGAGUAAAAAAGUUAUGUAGGGGUUUAUAUGAAGAAAAUUGAGUUGGUAGGGCUAAAAUCAUAUUUUCAGCAUAAUAUAUAAUAGGGUAAUACUUGGGUACUGACUGUUCAGUACCUAAAAUUUACUGACUCCAAUAAAUCAAAGACACCUGUCCAAUUUCAAGUCUCAAAUCACACAACCAAACACCCCUUGUUCUGCAAACCAAACAUCCUUCUUCUCUAUCUUCGCCCACAGUUUGCUCCAAACCAGCAAAAACGUUGCAAAUCUUUCCCAAAAGUUAUUACGCAUCUAAUUGAACCCAUACGAUUUAACUUUAUAAAAAAGAGUUUCAUGCUCUUCCUUGAGGUUCUUUUUCACCCACUGAUUGUAACCACUAUGGAGAUCCAUAUUAAUUAAUGGCACAAAAUGUGGCUUCAGGAUCUUGCUCGUCGCCACAAACAUCACCAGGUUGAGAUCAAAUGGAAAAAAAUGACUCUCCGAAUUGAUGAUGACAUGUUGCGAUCAUUGCCAUUGUCCAUAAUGGAGGAUGAUGAUCGCAGUCCUGUAGAAGAAAGGGAUUGUGGUCACUAGAUAAGACAGGGGUUGCG